GCUUGCCUUGACGACGACCGGCGCACGGGUGCGUAACGCGUAUACAAUCUACCUUGUACUGGGGGAUAGCCUUUGGAAACGAAGAUUAAUACCCCAUAGUAAUUAAAAACGGCAUCGCUUUUAAUUUAAAGGUUACGGUACAAGAUGAGUAUGCGUCCUAUUAGUUAGUUGGUAAGGUAACGGCUUACCAAGACGACGAUAGGUAGGGGUCCUGAGAGGGAGAUCCCCCACACUGGUACUGAGACACGGACCAGACUCCUACGGGAGGCAGCAGUGAGGAAUAUUGGACAAUGGGCGAGAGCCUGAUCCAGCCAUGCCGCGUGCAGGAAGACUGCCCUAUGGGUUGUAAACUGCUUUUAUAUAGGAAGAAACACUCCCUCGUGAGGGAGCUUGACGGUACUAUAAGAAUAAGGACCGGCUAACUCCGUGCCAGCAGCCGCGGUAAUACGGAGGGUCCGAGCGUUAUCCGGAAUCAUUGGGUUUAAAGGGUCCGUAGGCGGGAUGUUAAGUCAGUGGUGAAAGUUUGCGGCUCAACCGUAAAAUUGCCAUUGAUACUGACGUUCUUGAAUUAGUAUGAAGUGGUUAGAAUAAGUAGUGUAGCGGUGAAAUGCAUAGAUAUUACUUAGAAUACCAAUUGCGAAGGCAGAUCACUAAUACUAUAUUGACGCUGAGGGACGAAAGCGUGGGGAGCGAACAGGAUUAGAUACCCUGGUAGUCCACGCCGUAAACGAUGGAUACUAGCUGUUUCGGUAGUAAUACUGAG
This 763-nucleotide ribosomal RNA is filed under the name Patiriisocius marinus. RNAcentral's name for it is "bacterial SSU rRNA". It matches the Rfam family "Bacterial small subunit ribosomal RNA", at positions 78 to 842 of the family's 1533-position model. The record is from RNAcentral. Lineage: Bacteria; Pseudomonadati; Bacteroidota; Flavobacteriia; Flavobacteriales; Flavobacteriaceae.